GACGAACGCUGGCGGCGUGCUUAACACAUGCAAGUCGAACGGAAAGGCCCUGCUUUUGUGGGGUGCUCGAGUGGCGAACGGGUGAGUAACACGUGAGUAACCUGCCCUUGACUUUGGGAUAACUUCAGGAAACUGGGGCUAAUACCGGAUAGGAGCUCCUGCUGCAUGGUGGGGGUUGGAAAGUUUCGGCGGUUGGGGAUGGACUCGCGGCUUAUCAGCUUGUUGGUGGGGUAGUGGCUUACCAAGGCUUUGACGGGUAGCCGGCCUGAGAGGGUGACCGGCCACAUUGGGACUGAGAUACGGCCCAGACUCCUACGGGAGGCAGCAGUGGGGAAUAUUGCACAAUGGGCGGAAGCCUGAUGCAGCAACGCCGCGUGCGGGAUGACGGCCUUCGGGUUGUAAACCGCUUUCGCCUGUGACGAAGCGUGAG
This 430-nucleotide ribosomal RNA is filed under the name bacterium DAZ2005. RNAcentral describes it as "bacterial SSU rRNA". It matches the Rfam family "Bacterial small subunit ribosomal RNA", at positions 28 to 456 of the family's 1533-position model. The record is from RNAcentral. RNAcentral also lists the same sequence under 1 other name.